UUGGUCCCCUCGCAAUGAUAAGCUGUGAACCCCGCCAGGCCCGGAAGGGAGCAACGGUAAUAGCUGACUCAUGUGCCGUGGUGUGGCUGGC
RNAcentral lists this signal recognition particle RNA (91 nucleotides) under marine sediment metagenome. RNAcentral describes it as "Bacterial small signal recognition particle RNA". It matches the Rfam family "Bacterial small signal recognition particle RNA". Rfam says of the family: The signal recognition particle (SRP) is a universally conserved ribonucleoprotein involved in the co-translational targeting of proteins to membranes. The record is from RNAcentral. RNAcentral also lists the same sequence under 1 other name.